AAUCAACGCUGGCGGCGUGCCUCAGACAUGCAAGUCGAACGAUUAAAGCUCCCUUCGGGGAGUGCAUAAAGUGGCGCACGGGUGAGUAACACGUAAGUAAUCUACCUUCGAGUGGGGAAUAACGUUCGGAAACGAACGCUAAUACCGCAUAAUGCAGCGGCAUCUAUGAUGACAGUUGUUAAAGAUUUAUCGCUUGAAGAGGAGCUUGCGGCAGAUUAGCAGGUUGGUAAGGUAAUGGCUUACCAAGGCUACGAUCUGUAUCCGGUCUAAGAGGACGGUCGGACACACUGACACUGAAUAACGGGUCAGACUCCUA
Molecule: ribosomal RNA, 316 nt
Filed under: uncultured bacterium
Lineage: Bacteria
Description: bacterial SSU rRNA
Rfam family: Bacterial small subunit ribosomal RNA
Source: RNAcentral